UGGGAAAGCCUUUGCGGCAUGGGAUGGGGUCGCGUCCUAUCAGCUUGAUGGCGGGGUAACGGCCCACCAUGGCUUCGACGGGUAGCCGGCCUGAGAGGGCGACCGGCCACAUUGGGACUGAGAUACGGCCCAGACUCCUACGGGAGGCAGCAGUGGGGAAUAUUGCACAAUGGGCGCAAGCCUGAUGCAGCGACGCCGCGUGAGGGAUGGAGGCCUUCGGGUUGUAAACCUCUUUUGUUAGGGAGCAAGGCACUUUGUGUUGAGUGUACCUUUCGAAUAAGCACCGGCUAACUACGUGCCAGCAGCCGCGGUAAU
RNAcentral lists this ribosomal RNA (315 nucleotides) under Bifidobacterium breve. RNAcentral's name for it is "bacterial SSU rRNA". It matches the Rfam family "Bacterial small subunit ribosomal RNA", at positions 199 to 524 of the family's 1533-position model. The record is from RNAcentral. Lineage: Bacteria; Bacillati; Actinomycetota; Actinomycetes; Bifidobacteriales; Bifidobacteriaceae.